CCUACGGGGGGCAGCAGUGGGGGAUAUUGCACAAUGGGGGGAACCCUGAUGCAGCGACGCCGCGUGGGUGAAGGAGCGUUUCGGCGCGUAAAGCCCUAUCGGCAGGGAAGAAGGAGGACGGUACCUGACUAAGAAGCCCCGGCUAACUACGUGCCAGCAGCCGCGGUAAUACGUAGGGGGCAAGCGUUAUCCGGAUUUACUGGGUGAAAAGGGGGCGCAGACGGCAGCGCAAGCCAGGAGGGAAAGCCCGGGGCCCAACCCCGGGACUGCUCUUGGAACUGCGCGGCUGGAGUGCAGAGGGGGCAGGCGGACUUCCUGGUGUAGCGGUGAAAUGCGUGGAUAUCAGGAGGAACACCGGUGGCGAGGGCGGCCUGCUGGACUGCGACUGACGUUGGGGCCCGAACGCGUGGGGCGCAAACAGGAUUAGCUACCCGGGUGGC
This 440-nucleotide ribosomal RNA is filed under the name uncultured bacterium. Its description in RNAcentral is "partial 16S ribosomal RNA". It matches the Rfam family "Bacterial small subunit ribosomal RNA", at positions 338 to 794 of the family's 1533-position model. The record is from RNAcentral.